This is a long non-coding RNA of Drosophila montana, 840 nucleotides long. RefSeq lists it as uncharacterized. The record is from RefSeq and is a predicted model, not a curated record. NCBI's taxonomy places the organism in Eukaryota, Metazoa, Arthropoda, Insecta, Diptera, Drosophilidae. The transcript has 3 exons.
AUAAUUAUGUUUUAUAAAUUUUUAUAAGAAUAAGAAAAAGUAAUGCAUAUGUUUGUAUUUUAUUAAGUAAACGCAGCUCAAUGGCAAGGUGGAAACAUACAAAAAUAUAAAAGUUUCUCAGAAUCAGUUUAUCGAAAACCGAUCUUGAUACUUUACAACCCUGAUGUUUGUUUACGUUUUGCACUUGCCAAUUAAUUGGUAAAAAUAAAUAUAUAAAUUAAUAUUGAAGCUGCUGUGGAGGAAAAAUAGCAAACGAUACACAUAUAAUAGGAUGUGCGUGUGUGUGUAUACAUGCAGGUAUGUGAUUAUUUGGUGGAGGUCUAUAAUGGAGAAGCGCAUACACUUGUUGUUCAACGGAGCGAAAGCCUAUGUAUGCAGAUAUGUCUUGAUGUACUUGCGUACAUCAAUAUGGCGAUCGGUUAAAUUUUUGGAUGCCUUAAUGGCCACGAACAAUAUUUUAUCUGCGGGUUUUUUUUUUGAAUUUUUUAAAUACAAUUGCCCCUCGCUUUAACCACGGACAAUGUGAAGCGAAAAAAUAUGUUCAGACACACAAAUAUGAAUUAAUUAACUGGAGUUGCCGGAAAUUUGGCAAUGGACGAGUUGAGGUAGGUGCACUGCUACUUAUCUUGUUUGAAUUUGUAGCUGUUCCUGGAACCUUUUCUUGCAGAUCCACCAAUGCUUGCUGGGGCGAACUGGAUAUGCCAAAUGUUGUAGAAAAAUCCGGCUCGAAGGACCAAAUGUUGUAGUAGGGCGUCCGCAGGGCUUCCAGAUGAACUUUGCUAAGUUGAAGUAUCGUUGGGGGAGCGUUUCUGCUCUGCACAAAUUUACUUAAGGUUUGAA